RNAcentral lists this small RNA (184 nucleotides) under bacterium. Its description in RNAcentral is "6S RNA". The record is from RNAcentral.
AAUAUAGUCCUGUAUGGAUGCUUAUUUUGUUCCUACAUUUAUUAUAACGGGAGAUAAGACUCUUACGGACGUGAAGUAUACCCGCCGAUUUUUAAAUCGCCAGCGGGAAACGGAUAGUUCGGGGCGAUCACCCACCUGCGAGAACACGCAGGUAACAAAAUCACAUCUGUAUAGGGCUAUAAAU